Molecule: long non-coding RNA, 2008 nt
Filed under: Salvia miltiorrhiza (redroot sage)
Lineage: Eukaryota; Viridiplantae; Streptophyta; Magnoliopsida; Lamiales; Lamiaceae
Description: long non-coding RNA (SMIL_LNC005096)
Source: RNAcentral
UGGGUGAGUCUCAUCAGAAGGGGUGGAUGGUCGAAAUCCUCGCAUGAGCAACGCGAUCUGGGACUGCAUCUCCUGUAUAGUCCUAGCCUGCUCCUCCUCUCUAUGUCUCCUGGCCUCUAUCUCCUGCACUGCUCUGGUCAGAGCACUCGCUGUGGUGUCAAGAUCCUCCCUCAAAGUGGUAAACUCAGCCUUUGAAGGAGCAUCGAAGUGUGAGGUGCUGGUGGAGGUGCUCGACUCGCCGUCGCCUGAAGUAAGCGCCUUCGACAUCAUCAUACCUAAUCCCAUGAUGCGCCCCUUCGGAUCAGGAGUGACUACCUCUCGGAAGAUGCGAUCCACGUCGGCGGGUGUGACCUCUCCCUGUAUCUCACGCAGCUCUGCCACUCGCCUCUCGACCUCCAACUACAAUAUAAAAAAUGUUAAGAACAGUUGUAAAAUAGAUUAUUAUAACAAAACAAAUUAAACAUUUGCAAUUAACGUCAUACCCCGUGCUGCGCAGGUCGUCCGGCGGUAUACUGUCCAUUCUUAAAAUGGAUACGUCGAAAGGUAGCCCAAGACGCCGCGUCAAAAGGGAUAUUGCUCUCCCGAGCCUUCAAAAAUACGUUAAAGUAAAGUAACGAUUUAAUAGACAUAAACCCAUUAGAAAUAAAAUUUAGAAUGUAAAGUUACCAAAUAGCUCAGCAUGAUCCAGAGCGCUAUGCGACCCCCCCAUCGAUGGAUAGCCAUCCCUGUACCCAACACCGCAAGGCUCAGAACGGCGAUUCCUAGACGCUUGUGCAGACCUUGCCUGACGUCUCAGGCAAUCGACCCAAUAACGCCCUCCAAGCAGCCUCAACAAUAGGAUUGAGAUAAUCAAUCUUCUUCUUGUGCAAUAAGAGGGUUUUCUUGCAUGCACAAAUAUAAUCCUUAUAUGCCACUCGAGCCUCUGAGAUCCACGCCUUCUUAAUUUGUUGUCUGGUAUAUUUAUCUUUUUGCCAACAAAAUGCUUUCUGUUUAAAGUUAUUGAAAAUAACAGUAAAAUUAGUAUUUGUGAGUGUUCAUUUAGAAUAAGACAUAAUUAUAUAUUAGAUGAUUAUACCUAAAAAUUCAUCGAAGUACACGUCCUUCAUCUCCUCAGUCAAAUCCUUCCAAUUCGUGCCACUUUCAUGUGGCAUUCCUUGGAAGCUAUCAGUAGCCCUAGCCCGAAUAGGUCCACUCGNUUUUCGGUCGUUGGUUAACGACCGAAAUGUUCGGUCGUUGGUAUUCCGGCAGUCUUACCGGGCUUCCCCCACCGGCACUAUUAACGACCGAAAAUUCGGUCGUUAAUCAACGACCGAAUUUUCGGUCGUUGAAUACAGUUAAUACAGUUAUGAGACCUUGACCGAAGAUUGUUCUACGACGAAAUUCGUCGUUAUUUUUAUUUUAUUUUUUAUUUAUUAUAUAUAUAUAUAUUCAGAUUAUUAGUAUACUAUUAUUAUAUUUUCCAUAACAUAGCAAUAUAUAAAUGAUUCAUAAUAAUCGUAGUCCCAAAUCAUGAAAAUACUAAAAACAAAUAAUCAUCCCAUAACAAAGUAGAAAAUCCUAGAAAAUAUCAACAAAAACAGAAAUUCAGUAUUCAAAGCAUAAAAAGUACAUCAAAACAUAGUCAGCAUAAUCAAAGGUCUGGGUGAGUCUCAUCAGAAGGGGUGGAUGGUCGAAAUCCUCGCAUGAGCAACGCGAUCUGGGACUGCAUCUCCUGUAUAGUCCUAGCCUGCUCCUCCUCUCUAUGUCUCCUGGCCUCUAUCUCCUGCACUGCUCUGGUCAGAGCACUCGCUGUGGUGUCAAGAUCCUCCCUCAAAGUGGUAAACUCAGCCUUUGAAGGAGCAUCGAAGUGUGAGGUGCUGGUGGAGGUGCUCGACUCGCCGUCGCCUGAAGUAAGCGCCUUCAACAUCAUCAUACCUAAUCCCAUGAUGCGCCCCUUCGGAUCAGGACUGACUACCUCUCGGAAGAUGCGAUCCACGUCGGCGGGUGUGACCUCUCCCUGUAUCUCACG